CCUACGGGUGGCAGCAGUGGGGAAUAUUGGGCAAUGGGCGAAAGCCUGACCCAGCAACGCCGCGUGAAGGCAGCAGGUUUUAGGAUUGUAAACUCCUUUUGUUAACGACGAUUAUGACGGUAUCUAACGCAUAAGCAGCGGCUAACUCCGUGCCAGCAGCCGCGGCAAUACGGAGGGUGCAAGCGUUACUCGGAUUCACUGGGCGUAAGGAGUGCGUAGGCGGGGUAAUAAGUCAGAUGUGAAAUCCUGUAGCUUAACUACAGAACUGUAUUUGAAACUGGUACUCUGGAGUGUGGGAGCGGUAGGUGGAAUUCUUGGUGUAGGGGUAAAAUCCGUAGAGAUCAAGAGGAAUACUCAUUGCGAAGGCGACCUGCUGGAACAUUACUGACGCUGAUGCACGAAAGCGUGGGGAGCAAACAGGAUUAGAUACCCCAGUAGUC
This 440-nucleotide ribosomal RNA is filed under the name uncultured bacterium. RNAcentral describes it as "partial 16S ribosomal RNA". It matches the Rfam family "Bacterial small subunit ribosomal RNA", at positions 338 to 795 of the family's 1533-position model. The record is from RNAcentral.